CCUGGGCCUCAGGGAGCAGAGUCAGGGCGCCCACCAUGGCCUGGACCCCUCUCCUCCUCGGCCUCCUGGCUCACUGCACAGCCUCUGUGGCCUCCUAUGAGCUGACGCAGCCGCCCUCGGUGUCGGUGAGCCCGGGACAGACGGCCAGGCUCACAUGUGGGGGAAACAGCAUUGGAAUUAAAAGUGUCCACUGGUACCAGCAGAAGCCCGGCCAGGCCCCCGUGCUGGUCAUCUAUGAUGAUAUCGGCCGGCCCUCGGGAAUCCCUGACCGAUUCUCUGGCUCCAGCUCAGAUGACACAGUCACCCUGACCAUCAGCGGGGCCCAGGCCCAGGACGAGGCAGACUAUUACUGUUCAGCGUGGGAUGACAGUAGUAAUGCUCACAGUGACACAGGCGGAUGGGGAAGUGGGACAGAAACCUCCCUGUGUCACCCUCUCCUCCAGCCCCGAGGGCUGCAGACCAAGCCCUGAGCACGGCUGCCCGUCUGUGUCGAGCGAGAGCAGGGGCAGCUUCGGGCGCCUGUGGACGAUCCCACAUGGAGCCCUGUCAGCCAUGGGUCAUGUCCGGGAGCAGGAGGCCCAUGAGGAGUGUGGGUGCAUCGGGACGGCCCCCGGGAGGGGCCUGGACACCGUGAGCGGGAACGUCUGUAACAGCAGCCACAUCAGCUCCACAGUGACCCCUCCAUGUUCAAUAGAAGCACAGUUUACAGGAACCUGGGCUCCCAGACACAU
Non-coding RNA from Myotis brandtii (Brandt's bat), 731 nucleotides. The record is from the annotation of a RefSeq genome assembly. NCBI's taxonomy places the organism in Eukaryota, Metazoa, Chordata, Mammalia, Chiroptera, Vespertilionidae.